This 1391-nucleotide ribosomal RNA is filed under the name Microbacterium sp. Its description in RNAcentral is "bacterial SSU rRNA". It matches the Rfam family "Bacterial small subunit ribosomal RNA". The record is from RNAcentral. Lineage: Bacteria; Bacillati; Actinomycetota; Actinomycetes; Micrococcales; Microbacteriaceae.
UGCAGUCGACGGUGAAGCAGAGCUUGCUCUGUGGAUCAGUGGCGAACGGGUGAGUAACACGUGAGCAAUCUGCCCCUGACUCUGGGAUAAGCGCUGGAAACGGCGUCUAAUACCGGAUACGAGCUGCGACCGCAUGGUCAGUAGCUGGAAAGAAUUUCGGUCAGGGAUGAGCUCGCGGCCUAUCAGCUUGUUGGUGAGGUAAUGGCUCACCAAGGCGUCGACGGGUAGCCGGCCUGAGAGGGUGACCGGCCACACUGGGACUGAGACACGGCCCAGACUCCUACGGGAGGCAGCAGUGGGGAAUAUUGCACAAUGGGCGCAAGCCUGAUGCAGCAACGCCGCGUGAGGGAUGACGGCCUUCGGGUUGUAAACCUCUUUUAGCAGGGAAGAAGCGAAAGUGACGGUACCUGCAGAAAAAGCGCCGGCUAACUACGUGCCAGCAGCCGCGGUAAUACGUAGGGCGCAAGCGUUAUCCGGAAUUAUUGGGCGUAAAGAGCUCGUAGGCGGUCUGUCGCGUCUGCUGUGAAAACCCGAGGCUCAACCUCGGGCCUGCAGUGGGUACGGGCAGACUAGAGUGCGGUAGGGGGAGAUUGGAAUUCCUGGUGUAGCGGUGGAAUGCGCAGAUAUCAGGAGGAACACCGAUGGCGAAGGCAGAUCUCUGGGCCGUAACUGACGCUGAGGAGCGAAAGGGUGGGGAGCAAACAGGCUUAGAUACCCUGGUAGUCCACCCCGUAAACGUUGGGAACUAGUUGUGGGGUCCAUUCCACGGAUUCCGUGACGCAGCUAACGCAUUAAGUUCCCCGCCUGGGGAGUACGGCCGCAAGGCUAAAACUCAAAGGAAUUGACGGGGACCCGCACAAGCGGCGGAGCAUGCGGAUUAAUUCGAUGCAACGCGAAGAACCUUACCAAGGCUUGACAUAUAGAGGAAACGUCUGGAAACAGUCUCCCCGCAAGGUCUCUAUACAGGUGGUGCAUGGUUGUCGUCAGCUCGUGUCGUGAGAUGUUGGGUUAAGUCCCGCAACGAGCGCAACCCUCGUUCUAUGUUGCCAGCACGUAAUGGUGGGAACUCAUGGGAUACUGCCGGGGUCAACUCGGAGGAAGGUGGGGAUGACGUCAAAUCAUCAUGCCCCUUAUGUCUUGGGCUUCACGCAUGCUACAAUGGCCGGUACAAAGGGCUGCAAUACCGUGAGGUGGAGCGAAUCCCAAAAAGCCGGUCCCAGUUCGGAUUGAGGUCUGCAACUCGACCUCAUGAAGUCGGAGUCGCUAGUAAUCGCAGAUCAGCAACGCUGCGGUGAAUACGUUCCCGGGUCUUGUACACACCGCCCGUCAAGUCAUGAAAGUCGGUAACACCUGAAGCCGGUGGCCCAACCCUUGUGGAGGGAGCCGUCGAA